CCGAAAGAGAGCGAGCGAAGAACCAGACCACACCGGGAGGAGAGAGUUUGGGACCGGAACAUCAGUAGCACUUUCAAGGAAUCUGUUACUCAGAAUGUACCUGUAGCGAAGAUCGAGAAGGUAACUGACCAAAAUCGUGAUGUACGUGCAAACACCUCUGCUCACCAUCUGCAUGUGUAAAUUUCUCACAUACAAAUGUCCUACUGAGGUUCGUACAUUUUCAAGACACAAACUACUGUUGAGGAGCCUAAGGUCUGUUGAUGAGCAUAUGUGAUUACGUGAGGCUGGAGAUGGAAGAUGAAGUGUGAAAAUGGAGCGACCUGUGGGAGUCUCACAGCCUGCAAAAAAUCAAUAUUACUUUCC
This is a long non-coding RNA of Labeo rohita (rohu), 363 nucleotides long. RefSeq lists it as uncharacterized. The transcript is spliced from 4 exons. Lineage: Eukaryota; Metazoa; Chordata; Actinopteri; Cypriniformes; Cyprinidae. The record is from RefSeq and is a predicted model, not a curated record.